GUGGCAAGGACCUGCUCGGAAAGCACAUCUGAACGCUCCACACCUCAUCGCGGCGUCCCGCUAGUAUGUUGACGAGAAAACUUCUUCACUGGGUCCUGAUCGUCGACAUGUUAUCCAUUUUUGUUACGGCGGGCGAAAUAAGUCGCGAACAACGCUUUCGUAUCCUAAUCGGAGCGAUCCGUAGACACGUCCGAGAAGGAAGAACUCGUCUGAUAGAGAGUCUUCUGGAAGAGCUGUGCCUGAGUUUCCCUGUGCAGUGCCAGAGAGAAGGGUCCGGCAGAUGGGGAGCAGGAGAAAAUCCACGAACAUCCUUUCCAAGAUUUGGCUAAAAAUCCACAGCUUACAAGGACGACGUCAAAGGUUUUCGAUCAGCAGGACGACGACAUAUUAUGUCGAGCCAUUGUUCGCGAUGACGUCACGGAAAGCAACUGGUGACGUCAGCAGACAGAAUUGUGCAAUAUCUACUGUCAUCUAUCAUCUAUCUAGCUAAUGCGAGAGUUGGUGUGUACACAAAGUUGAACCUCCAGUUGUCUAUGCUUCUCCUUACUAGACUAUUAGAUUUUAGGUUUGGAAACAUUUCAUAAAGAAAGUUUUCUACCGGUGGUUGAUAGUAUAGAAUUUUCUAAGAUAGCAAACAGAAUCAUGAGAACAAUAUUAUAUGCUAUUGUUGUUCAAGAGGAGACAAUGACAAUCACUUCUGAAACGAGCGGCACUUUGUAACUUGCUGCGAUUACUUGUAUUUAUUUACGGAUGAUCUGACGUAAUGACAAAGUUACCCCGUAAACGACUGAAUAUAACUUAUUUGCCUUUUAUUGCUUUUAGCUGCAACAGGAUGUCAGAUUAGAAUGACGUUGGCCAAGCCACUUUCGUCAAUCAUGACAUCUAUAUAGUUUUGUAAUAUCAUUUCAUAUCAGUAUAUGUAUUUGAGUGCGUCACAACUGUAUAUCGUAAUGAAAGUCCAUACAAUUAUACACGUACCGCAGUGUUAAUAAUGUUGGACGGUUCAGAUUACUCUUGCAGUGAUCAUGCAUCUUGUCGACGUGUUGCCAGUAUCUGCUGUGCGCUGAGAAGUUCUAUUCUUAGGUCAAGACAAAAGCAGAAAUAAUAAUUAUUUCAAACUUGA
Molecule: long non-coding RNA, 1123 nt
Organism: Branchiostoma floridae (Florida lancelet)
Lineage: Eukaryota; Metazoa; Chordata; Leptocardii; Amphioxiformes; Branchiostomatidae
Exons: 3
Source: RefSeq, a predicted model, not a curated record